Molecule: long non-coding RNA, 505 nt
Organism: Cloeon dipterum
Lineage: Eukaryota; Metazoa; Arthropoda; Insecta; Ephemeroptera; Baetidae
Exons: 4
Source: RefSeq, a predicted model, not a curated record
UUGCUCUUGAUGUGGCCAAAGUAAGUUUUUAACCAUAUUAUUUUUCAAAUUAUUCAAUCCGAAAAAGGAGCAACGCGAUUUGGAAAGGAGGAGACAGAAUGUGAUGGACGCCACGAAGAUAACGCUCCAAUUUGACGUGGAGACAUUAGCCAAAGAGCAUCGUAAUACAAAUAGCGACAUUAAAGAACUGCGUGACAUAACAUCGUUGGCCUUUUCAGACUUCUACACCAUGCUCUUACUCUGUGUUACGUGGAACAUUGCCGGAGGGAUUUUUCUCAUCUGGAUCCGCUCUUGGUCGGCGCUUCUCGGCACGCUCGUCGGUUCCGCUCUUUCCUUCGUGCUUUGGGGCUUUCUCUCUCUUGUUAUGAGCCACGCUGUUUGGAUGUACACCUUCAAUAGCCUUUGGUUUAUUACGGGCAUCACCUUCGCAUUCUAUAUUGUUCUAGGUUUGUUUGUACUUCUCUUCGGUUGUUGCACACCUCCUGAAAAUCAAGAAGAGCAAAAC